This 122-nucleotide small RNA is filed under the name Marmota monax (woodchuck). Lineage: Eukaryota; Metazoa; Chordata; Mammalia; Rodentia; Sciuridae. The record is from RNAcentral.
GCCGGGUGUGGUGGCACAAACCUGUAAUCCCAGUAGUUUGGGAGGCUGAGGCAGAAGGAUUGCAAGUUGGAGUCUCAGCAAUUUAGUGAGGCCCUAAGCAAUUCAGCAAGACUCUGUCUCAA